RNAcentral lists this long non-coding RNA (4246 nucleotides) under Carica papaya (papaya). RNAcentral's name for it is "long non-coding RNA (CPAP_LNC008765)". The record is from RNAcentral. Lineage: Eukaryota; Viridiplantae; Streptophyta; Magnoliopsida; Brassicales; Caricaceae.
CAAAUUCGGCCACACUCGCAUUGGUCCUUGUCAGAAAACAACCUUAGGGCCCUCGGGGGGCCAAAAAAUCACGGAAAAACGGAGCUUACCGGCGGCGGCGCUCUCGGGUGCGGCGGCUCUCCGGCGAGGUUCAUGUUUUGGUGAUUCGGCUCCGGUCAACCUGUAGAGAAAAGAAUGGUGAUCACGGUGAUAUAAAAAUUGCAUCGAACGGAGGCCGGGAAGGGCCUCGUCGGAGGCAAAAACCGAGAGGGGGCGCGGCGGCGCCGCUGGGCUUCGGCCGCGUAUUCCGGCCGUUUGGCCGGGAUUUCGGCUUCGAUUUGGCCAUAGGAGGAAUCAGUGGGGAAAAACGAGUCGGGGGUAUGAAAUUUACCUCGAUCGGCGGUCGGAAAUUUCCCCGGUGCGGCGGCGAGUGGCGGCGGGUGGCGGCGGUCGGCCUCUGGUUCGUCUUCUCCGGCGAGCGGCUGGCGGCUAGGGUUUGUGGUCUGGUGUGGGGGUUCUAUUUAUAACCCCUUGCCUUUUGAUCACAGCCGUUCAUUUUGUUUUAAUCUGGGCCGUUCGUUUUUGAUUUGAAUCUGGGCCGUCCGUGCGAUUGAAUCUGGGGCCGUCCGAUCGCGUGAUUUGAUCUAGGCCGUCGGAUCGCACCCACGCGGGAUCGCCAACGUGGGCUCCUUUUGGGAGUGACGCGGUCUUUGCCACGUGGGCAAGGCCCUGGUUGGCCCGGGACUGCUGACCGGGCCUNNNNNNNNNNNNNNNNNNNNNNNNNNNNNNNNNNNNNAUGCUGACAUCGUGCACGCGGGAUGCCAUUAGGGCAAUCCACGUGCCCCACGAUCGGACGACCCAGGAUCGAUCUCACGAGCGUGGACGGUCCAGAUUUAUUUCCCCCUUACCCUCUGUUUGGAUCAUGGUGAAUGGUAGAAUUUUAAUGUACAGUAUUUCACUUAGAACACCGUAUUUAUUUCAACUUCCAAUGGUAACAAAUAAUAUUUGACUGACAAAUUUUGAGAUGAAUUUUUAAACCACCGAAUUAGUGGCAUGUGAUCAACAUACUAUUUUUUUUCCUUUAUACCCCCAUCUAAUUUAAUUAAUUUUAUUUUUAUCCUAACAAUUAAAAAACUUAUUUUCUCUUCUUCCUCAAUGAAGCCGCACGCAGGGAGGACGAACAACUCCAGUCUGCUUCUUAUCUGAUCGAUAUUUGCUUGUUCUUCUUCUUUGAUUGCUUCCAAACAUUGGUUCAUUGAUUCUAUUUCUUAUUUGUGUUCUUCACCUUCUCAAUCGGUAAGUAUUUUUGUAUUUUUUUCUCUGAUUUUUUCAGCAUCAAUUUCUUUCAUUUUUUCUUUGAUUUGCAUGUAUUUCUAUUAUUUUUUCGAUGAUUUACAUGUAUUUCUUUCUAUAAUAGCCUAUAUCUAUGAGUGAGGGUGAGAUGAACGAUUAUGAUGUGGAGUUGGGAUAGGUAUAAAAGGGGGUGUUGGGCAGAGAGAGAGAGGGAGGAGGAGAAAGAAAAGAGAGGAAAAACAGAGAGCGGAGUGAGAGAGGAAGAUGAUUGCGAGAGAGGCAGUAAUCGGAGGCGAGUGUGGAAGGAGAACUGCUCGGAAGUGCGAAAAAAAGGUGAGGUCACGGUAGCUUUGAGUGGUUGUACCAUCUAUUGGAUCACUCUAGUGCUUUGGGUACUACGGACCCUCUACCAUCUAUUGCAGCAAAGUUGUUUCAUUUUCGGGCGGGGGGGCGCUAAGCACAGUUCUUUGAAUCAAACGUUGAAUGAAAUCGAUUCUUUUUUAGAUAUCAAAAUAAAAAUCGGAUAGGAUAGAUGGAUGGAUCUAUCUUUUUAUUUAUAUAUAUUAGUAUAUAAAAUGGAUUCUUGUAGUUAAGUAGUGUAGCAAGAAGCCCCAAAUCCUUGAUUUGGCCAGGAAAGACUGCACUGCUUUGGGCCCAGGAGAUAUAGAAGGAUGGAAGCAAGAGGUAAGAGAAAUUUAGAAUUUCUAAACUAAUUUAGGGCAAACCUUGGUAAGAUUGUGUAUGUAGGUUAAUGGCGGUGCUCCUCGUCAAGGAGAUGGAAGUCGAGGCGUGAUAUUAGCUAAGGAAGUGCAAGAGUAGUCGAGGUUUGAGAAAGGAGAGGGAGUAUAUAACAGCCCCAGAAAUUUUAAAUGAAAUGUAUAUUAAAAUAUCAAUGCGGAAGCGAAGUCAAAAUUUGAUUAACAUCCUUUACACUGAAACAAAAAAAAAACGUGCUCAAAAUAUAAAAGAUCAAACUAACUAAAAGAGAAAUUCGGAAGUAAGUUAUAAAUAUGACUUUGGAGUCUUUAGGUGUCCCCUUCGUCGUCUUCUUGCGGAACGGGCUCGGGAACGAUGUCUUCCUGAUCUGAAAUGAUUAAAUAAGGAAUGAGCUACACUACCCCAGUAAGGACAUCACGAUAUCUCACCGUCACGGAGAUAAAGGAGGGUAGAAAAUACAAAAAGACCAAUGGAGCAUAAUUUACAAUAAACUCAUUUAUCAGUAAUAAAACCCUUUACCAUUCACUUACCUCGGUGAAAUUCAUAAAAUAAUAUACGAAAGCAAUAACAUUAUCAUAAUCAUGAAAUCAUAUAAACUGUGUAACAUAAUACUCAUCAUGCCCUUGCAAUUCAAUCAUUUCACAAUUACUUUUCCUCAUUCACCAGCCUACUAGUAUCCAUGGGGAUCCAUAGGGGUCCCGCUACCCGUUACCCUUAAUACUUGUAAUCAGAUUCCAGGGUCGUCCCCAUACCCCGUCCGGUAUGGGCGCCAAAACUGUAAACCUCAAUACCCCGUCCGGUAUGAGGGUGAAACGGGCCGUCCCCAUACCCCNNNNNNNNNNNNNNNNNNNNNNNNNNNNNNNNNNNNNNNNNNNNNNNNNNNNNNNNNNNNNNNNNNNNNNNNNNNNNNNNNNNNNNNNNNNNNNNNNNNNNNNNNNNNNNNNNNNNNNNNNNNNNNNNNNNNNNNNNNNNNNNNNNNNNNNNNNNNNAGAUCUCCAUACCCCGUCAGGUAUGAGAGACCACAAUCCCGGUAGGGUCCCCUACGGACCCGGUCCGUCCACCAUCUCCCAGGAUAUCUAGUCAGGCUGACCCCAUUACACAAUUAUCAAUUUAUACAAUCUUCCAUUCUUCUUUCCCUCAAUCAGCAUCAUCAAUUCGCAUUUAGAUAAGCAAAACAGUAAUUCAUGCCAAACAAACAACAUACAGUAUCAGUAUUUCAGUCAUUCAACCAAUAAUCAAUAAAACAGUAAAAUAUGCACACGAAACUAUAAAAUGAAAACAUCAAACCUCAUACUGCAUUUAAUACUGAAAAUUAGAUCAAACAAUAACAGACCAACAUUGUAUCAGACUCGGGCUCCAUUGGCAACCUCAAUCAAUUAUACAUCUAUAAAGUCUCAAAAUACUGUUUAAUUAUUUAUUAAGCUUUAAUACCGUGAUAGGAAAUAGGGUGAGGGGUCCUUACUCGUUUCGGGGUCCGAACACGGCUUCACAGUGCGCCUACAGGCUGUCCUUAAUUUUCCCUGAAUUUUUCUCGGGGAACUGAAACACACCACUGGUACCUGCACGUGUUCCAAAAAAUUCCAAAUUAGGCCCAGGGCCCCUUUCGGCCCAGAUCGCAACUCCGGCACGGCGGCGGGUUGCCUCGGGUUGGUCGUUUUCGGCCGUUUCUGGCCGAAUUCGGCCACACUCGCAUUGGUUCCUGCGAUAAAACAACCCUACGGCCCUCGGGGGGCCGAAAAUUUACAGAAAACCGAAGCUUACCGGCGGCGGUGCUCUCGGGUGCGGCAGCUCUCCGGUGAAGUUCGUGUUUUGGUGAUUCAGCUCCGAUCAACAUGUAGAGAAAAGAAUGGUGAUCACGGUGAUAUAAAAAUUGCAUUAAACGGAGGCCGGGAAGGGCCUCAUCGGAGGCAAAAACCGAGAAGGGGCGCGGCAGCGCCGCUGGCUUUCGGCCGUAUUUUCCGACCGUUUGGCCGGGAUUUUGGCUCCGAUUUGGCCACUGGGGAAAUCAGCGUGGAAAAACGAGUCGGGGGUAUAAAAUUUACCUCGAUCGGCGGUCGGAAAUCCCUCCGGUGCUGCAGCGGGUGGCAGCGACCGGCUUCUGGUUCGUCUUCUCCGGCGAGCGGCAGGCGGCUAGGGUUUGUGGUCUGGUGUGGGCGUUCUAUUUAUAACCCUUUGCCCUUUUGAUCUCAGCCGUCCAUUUUGUUUUAAUCUGGGCCGUCCGUUUUUGAUUAAAUCUGGGCCGUCCGUGCGAUUAAAU